AGUGAACGCUGGCGGUAGGCCUAACACAUGCAAGUCGAACGGCAGCACAGUAAGAGCUUGCCCUUACGGGUGGCGAGUGGCGGACGGGGGAGGAAUACAUCGGACUCUACUUUUUCGUGGGGGAUAACGUCGGUACACUUACGCUAAUACUGCAUACGACCUACUGUUGAAAGCAGGGGAUCUUCGGAACUUGUGUGAUUGAAUGAGCCGAUGUCGCAUUUGCUAGUCGGCGGGGUAAAGGCCCACCAAGGCAACGCACCGUAGAGGGUCUGAGCGGAUGAUAAGCUCCCCUGGAACUGAGACACGGUCCAGACUCCUACGGGAGGCAGCAGAGGGGAAUAUUAGACAAUGGGCGCAAGCCUGGUCCAGCCAUGCCGCGUGGGUGAAAAAGGCCUUCCGGUUGUAAAGCCCUUUUGUUGGGAAAGAAGAGCAGCAGGUUAAUACCCCGCUGUUCUGACGGUACCCAAUGAAUAAGCACCGGCUAACUUCGUG
This 492-nucleotide ribosomal RNA is filed under the name uncultured bacterium. RNAcentral describes it as "partial 16S ribosomal RNA". It matches the Rfam family "Bacterial small subunit ribosomal RNA", at positions 29 to 507 of the family's 1533-position model. The record is from RNAcentral.